This 245-nucleotide ribosomal RNA is filed under the name uncultured bacterium. Its description in RNAcentral is "partial 16S ribosomal RNA". It matches the Rfam family "Bacterial small subunit ribosomal RNA", at positions 524 to 768 of the family's 1533-position model. The record is from RNAcentral.
GACGUAGGGGGCGAGCGUUCUCCGGAUUUACUGGGCGUAAAGGGCAUGCAGGCGGUGCAGCAAGUCUCUGCUGACAGUCACGAGCUUAACUCGUGAAGGCGUAGGGAAACUACUGAACUGGAGAGAGCGAGAGGCAGAGGGAAUUCCGUGUGGAGCAGUGAAAUGCGUAGAGAUGCGGAAGAACACCAGAGGCGAAGGCGCUCUGCUGGCGCUCGUCUGACGCUAAGAUGCGAAAGCUAGGGGAG